GACGAACGCUGGCGGCGUGCCUAAUACAUGCAAGUAGAACGCACAGUUUAUACCGUAGCUUGCUACACCAUAGACUGUGAGUUGCGAACGGGUGAGUAACGCGUAGGUAACCUGCCUGGUAGCGGGGGAUAACUAUUGGAAACGAUAGCUAAUACCGCAUAAUAUUGAUUAUUGCAUGAUAAUUGAUUGAAAGAUGCUAUUGCAUCACUACCAGAUGGACCUGCGUUGUAUUAGCUAGUAGGUGAGGUAACGGCUCACCUAGGCGACGAUACAUAGCCGACCUGAGAGGGUGAUCGGCCACACUGGGACUGAGACACGGCCCAGACUCCUACGGGAGGCAGCAGUAGGGAAUCUUCGGCAAUGGACGAAAGUCUGACCGAGCAACGCCGCGUGAGUGAAGAAGGUUUUCGGAUCGUAAAGCUCUGUUGUAAGAGAAGAACGGAUGUGAGAGUGGAAAGUUCACACUGUGACGGUAUCUUACCAGAAAGGGACGGCUAACUACGUG
RNAcentral lists this ribosomal RNA (505 nucleotides) under uncultured bacterium. RNAcentral describes it as "partial 16S ribosomal RNA". It matches the Rfam family "Bacterial small subunit ribosomal RNA", at positions 28 to 507 of the family's 1533-position model. The record is from RNAcentral.